Molecule: ribosomal RNA, 253 nt
Filed under: uncultured bacterium
Lineage: Bacteria
Description: partial 16S ribosomal RNA
Rfam family: Bacterial small subunit ribosomal RNA
Source: RNAcentral
UACAGAGGGUGCAAGCGUUGUUCGGAUUUACUGGGCGUAAAGCGCGCGUAGGCGGCUUUGUAAGUUAGAGGUGAAAGCCCGGAGCUCAACUCCGGAACUGCCUUUAAAACUGCAUCGCUUGAAUCCAGGAGAGGUGAGUGGAAUUCCGAGUGUAGAGGUGAAAUUCGUAGAUAUUCGGAAGAACACCAGUAGCGAAGGCGGCUCACUGGACUGGUAUUGACGCUGAGGUGCGAAAGCGUGGGGAGUAAACAGG